This 248-nucleotide ribosomal RNA is filed under the name bacterium enrichment culture clone ALO1_GLFRUDD03G8QMR. RNAcentral's name for it is "partial 16S ribosomal RNA". It matches the Rfam family "Bacterial small subunit ribosomal RNA", at positions 9 to 257 of the family's 1533-position model. The record is from RNAcentral.
GAGUUUGAUCUUGGCUCAGAUUGAACGCUGGCGGCAUGCCUUACACAUGCAAGUCGAACGGCAGCACGGGAGCUUGCUCCUGGUGGCGAGUGGCGAACGGGUGAGUAAUGCAUCGGAACGUAUCCUGGAGUGGGGGAUAACGUAGCGAAAGUUACGCUAAUACCGCAUAUUCUGUGAGCAGGAAAGCGGGGGACCUUCGGGCCUCGCGCUCUUGGAGCGGCCGAUGUCGGAUUAGCUAGUUGGUGAGG